CAAACUAGAAGGAAAGAAGUGGUAACUAGUAUCCUAGUUGAAAGGUUUAACUAUUGCGAAGUAAAGUACCAGUAAUUUAGCUAACACCAAAAGGGAAACAAUAAAACAGGAGGUACCAACUCCCGAUAACAAAACCUGUGGCUGAUUUGCUGUACUCGAUGUAGUUGUACGCUCACGCACCACUUCCUACCGCCCUUUGCUGACACUCGCCCAGGUUGCUCUCCUUCGCCAGUGCUCGUGCGCCCAACUUGUCUCCAAUACUUCGAGAAUUCCUGAAAACACAUAAAAUACCACGACCCAAAAACCAGAAGGAGCUAUCACCGCUACCACUGGUAUAGCCCAAACAAUAUAAAAUGUACAAAGAAAGAAAAAGAAGAAACGAGAAUAUAAGGGGUGGGGCAGAUUUGGGAUGCAAAAGGGGUGGGGCAAGAAGACCCGAUACAGUCAGUUAAAAACACAGCAUGUGCUCCUUUAGAUAUGUCUACUUGAAUAUACGGAGAAGACUGCUGAGAAGCACUUGAAAGUGGAGAAGAAAAAUUGGAGAAGAAAUCGCAGAUAAUCGGCAAACAACCACACUUGGGAUCCUUUUCACUAGAUUGGAAGCCACCCACACUGAUUCAACUCCAAAAUCUAACUAAAUAUGACUGAAAAAUCACCUAAACUAAUUUAUAUAAAUUUCUACACUAUAACCCUAAGAUUUCUAUGUAAAUCGAAAGGAAAUCUUAGGGAAAAUGGGGGAAAUAGUGAGAGGAUUUGAGGGAGUUCGAUCUCGAGACCAAACAAAUUUCUUUUGUUUUCUGUUGAAGAAUAUUUCUACACUAUAACCAAACAACUUAUAUACAAAUGAAAAGACGAAAAAUGGAAGAAACAUGAUCGCCAGAGUUCGUUUCAUUCCAUCCAGAUAUGAAAAUCCCGGUUAGCGAACAAGCCAUUUGCAUCCAUUUCAUGUGAGCUCUUGACUCUGGUUGCAGCAGUAGCAGUCACCAGUCGGUGGUCAAAUCUGGCGGAGACUAGCAAGUAACAACAAUAGAGUGGGUAUAGUGUGCGACGAAAUAUGGUGAAGAAAGAAGAGGCGAAAGCAGGGAUGAGGGGAAGCAGCCAUGACGGGAUCCAAAAAAAAAACCUUCAUACUGUACAAUUCUCACCCAUAUGAAAUUUGGAAGCAAAGAAGCACGAUUCCAUCUUCUCAAAUCCAAAAAGUCAUAUGUUAAAAAAAUUCACAUGUGGAAGAUUUUAAUAUGAUGAAGAGUUGCCGAAACUAUUUUAAGAUAGUAUUUGAUAGGAUUAGUUAUAUCAGUUCAAUCACUAUAAGUUUUUUUAAAAAGUUUUGACAUUAAUAUUUUGGGUUAGUACUUCCUUUGGACUGUUUAGA
Molecule: non-coding RNA, 1372 nt
Organism: Nicotiana tabacum (common tobacco)
Lineage: Eukaryota; Viridiplantae; Streptophyta; Magnoliopsida; Solanales; Solanaceae
Source: RefSeq, a predicted model, not a curated record